This 900-nucleotide ribosomal RNA is filed under the name Triticum aestivum (bread wheat). RNAcentral's name for it is "partial small subunit ribosomal RNA". Lineage: Eukaryota; Viridiplantae; Streptophyta; Magnoliopsida; Poales; Poaceae. The record is from RNAcentral.
AUGGACCGACUGGAUCGAUCGAUGAUGAGGAAUGAAGGUGGCAGCAGGACCCAGAUGGAUUACGUCAACCUAAUGUCGUCGUGGCAGACAUAUGAGAUACGCAGAAAUGACGGGAGGACGCGAGUAGGUAGGCCCUGUACUAGUCCACGGCUUCCUCCUCCCUCUGCAUGCAUGCAUGCCCAGCGAUUAAUUCAAGGCCGUGCGAAAACAGCAAAAGGAAAUCAGAGCUGGUUCGCGGGCCCGGCCCGGCUCGAUCCACCGUGCUCGGCCACUCCUCUUUAUAUACCGGCGCGCCCCGCGCGGUCGCUCGCUCACACCACCGCCCCGGCCCCGCGCCACUCUCUCUGCCUCUUCUUCUUCCUCCACACGGCCACACACACGCCCGCGCGCACGCAGCACCUUCCACCCACUUGCUUGCUCCGGCCAUCGACCAUGGAGGGCGAGGCGCCGCAGUCGCACCAGCUGCUGCUCCACGGCGUCAGCCUCGACCUGCGCCUCGACACGACGGCGCACCAGCAGCGCGGCGCCCGGCGCCCGGCGUCCCCUGCGCCUACUCCCGUGGCCCUCGACCAGGCCGGCAAGGAGGCCUUCGCCUGCAACUACUGCCACCGCAAGUUCUUCAGCUCGCAGGCGCUCGGCGGCCACCAGAACGCCCACAAGCUCGAGCGCACGCUCGCCAAGCGCAGCCGCGACGCCUCCGCCACCGCAGCGGCGGCAACCGCCACGCCUUCCUCUCACUGGCUCCACGGCGGUGGCGGGGAGCUCUGGACGUACUCUGCUUCGGCCGCUGCCCCGGAUUCCACGACGAUGGCGCCCCUGAUGGGCAUGGGCUGGGCUGGUAGCACAACAGCGGACGGCGGGGAGGCGGUGCCGGAGAUGGACCUGUCGCUCAAGCUCUGA